RNAcentral lists this long non-coding RNA (253 nucleotides) under Elaeis guineensis (African oil palm). Its description in RNAcentral is "long non-coding RNA (EGUI_LNC006844)". Lineage: Eukaryota; Viridiplantae; Streptophyta; Magnoliopsida; Arecales; Arecaceae. The record is from RNAcentral.
CGUCACUCCGAAAUGUAUUAAAUACUAAUCCUCUCAUAAUAUUUAUUUUAUCUUCUCUUUUUAAAUAAUAAGUAUGAAGCCUACUAACUUUUUCAUCAUUUUUUUUUUUUUCUAUACCAGAUUACUCCCAACUAAAUCGUUCUUAAAAAUAAUUCUUCGUGCACGACAUGCAGCAAAAAUGACAUAGAGCACACCGCGACUGCUGAUUGAUCCACGUAGCAUAAAAAAAAAUACCCCUCCUAGCCAUCACCUG